GCCCAAACUAUUUGAAAGAUGACAAGGAUCCAUGUGAAAUACUUUGAAAUAGAAGCCUGGUUGAGUCACAAAUGCAAGAAAUAGUUUUGCAUGGUGAGAGAGAAAAAACAAGGCCUUUAACUAAGACUUUAUCUCUGUAAACCUGAGCUGCAGUUAAUCACACAAUAUAUCAGAGGAAGUGUAAACAGGAAAUCAAAGGAUGUUACAACACUGAAAGCUUUUAGAUUAUGUGUUACAGAAGUUAAGGGAUGUGUCCUGUCAAGAAUGAAGCAAAUGCAUCCGUUAACACAAGACACUUAAAAAAAUAAAAAAAUGUCCUUCAAUUAAGGUCAAAACCUAGGAAGCUGCUACUCAAAAACAAGAGCUGAGUGAGAUGUGCAAAUAGGAAAUGACAAAGGAAUCCCAUAUCCUGGGAGAAAGACGGGUCCCAACCCAGAUGGCUUGCAGGUACGUAAAUGCAACUCCAAAUCUCACACAUAUUUGAUGAAGAGCUAAAUUUGCUAAUUUACCAUGUCUUCAUAUUUUUAACCAAGAGACCUUAGUAUAUCUAUCUGACCAGAAGGGUGAAGUUGAGGCAGUAGGAAGUCUGGACUUUCUACACUGGGAGUUAAUAAUGUUGUCUUCUCAGUGGAUAUAGUCGUUUUUCAGAAUUCAAUUUCUCUGGAAUGUACAGUGACAUAUUUAAAUAGCACUCUGAUUUUCAGCUAACAAUGGGAAGACUAGCUGCAUGUGAUCAGUUUUUUUUGUUUGUUUGUUUGUUUUGUUUUGUUUUGUUUUUUCAGAAUUUGGAAUUUGAUUAGGAAUAAAUAUUGAGAGCAACCCCUGGCCAGUGUGUGCAGGUUGUAAGUGAGUUUUAUCCUUUGGGCUUCUUUUAGGCAAGAGACAUUUAAACACAUGAUGGAAUAAUGUCCAGAUGUUAUGCAGACAGACUACCACAAAUGGAGAAUGAAGACAGAUGAAUGCGUUUUUGUGUUUGGCUAAGCUACUUUGGGGCAUUUUGUAUCUUGGUUCUUGGAAGCAGUAUUAUCACUUCCAGAGUAAAGAAAGACAACAGCAUUACUGCUGACAGUGCUGGAUUUCCAAGCCAUUUAAUACUUCAGACAGAUACCUUGAGCAAAGUGAAGGAACUGCAUUAUAUUGACAUAAUGAGUAAAGACUGAAGGUGUUGGAGUUGGGGAUGGUCCACCCCUCAUUUCUAAAGUGUCAGCACCCUCACUAUUACAAGAACUCAACUAAAUAAAGCAAGAUUAUUGUGUUGGAACUUCCUAAAU
Molecule: long non-coding RNA, 1271 nt
Filed under: Anas platyrhynchos platyrhynchos (common mallard)
Lineage: Eukaryota; Metazoa; Chordata; Aves; Anseriformes; Anatidae
Description: lncRNA (ENSAPLG00000030168.1)
Source: RNAcentral